This 74-nucleotide transfer RNA is filed under the name Candidatus Parcubacteria bacterium. RNAcentral's name for it is "tRNA-Ala". It matches the Rfam family "tRNA". From Rfam's summary of the family: Transfer RNA (tRNA) molecules are approximately 80 nucleotides in length. The record is from RNAcentral. Lineage: Bacteria; Candidatus Parcubacteria.
GGGCCUGUAGUUUAACGGCAAAACACCACAUUCGCAUUGUGGAAAUGUGGGUUCAAUUCCCACCGGGUCCACAA